GGCCAUGUUGUGACGUCAUCAUCCGGGACAGUGGGCUGGCUGGGCCACCAUCUUGCCAGUCGUGGUGAGCACCUGACCGGAGGGCGACUAAGGAGAGUAGCGGAGCGGGAUGAUGUAAGGUGAAGGACGCUAUGUAUCGCAAUGUGGGUGUUCUUCUUGCCUUACUCGCCGCCACACAACACCUCCGCGUCCUCGCUGCUGGAAAUAUAGGAUGCCUCUUCAGUGAGACACUGUGUGAGGGGGAGCGGGAGUGGUGCUUUGACGGUGAG
Procambarus clarkii (red swamp crayfish) is the source of this 269-nucleotide non-coding RNA. The record is from RefSeq and is a predicted model, not a curated record. NCBI's taxonomy places the organism in Eukaryota, Metazoa, Arthropoda, Malacostraca, Decapoda, Cambaridae.